UACGGAGGAUGCAAGCGUUAUCCGGAAUGAUUGGGCGUAAAGCGUCCGCAGGUGGCUGUGUAAGUCUGCUGUUAAAGAGUCUAGCUCAACUAGAUACAAGCAGUGGAAACUACACGGCUAGAGUACGGUCGGGGCAGAGGGAAUUCCUGGUGUAGCGGUGAAAUGCGUAGAGAUCAGGAAGAACACCGGUGGCGAAGGCGCUCUGCUAGGCCGCAACUGACACUGAGGGACGAAAGCUAGGGGAGCGAAUGGG
RNAcentral lists this ribosomal RNA (253 nucleotides) under uncultured bacterium. RNAcentral describes it as "partial 16S ribosomal RNA". It matches the Rfam family "Bacterial small subunit ribosomal RNA", at positions 524 to 776 of the family's 1533-position model. The record is from RNAcentral.